CAAGCCCGGCAGCAGGCGGGGUCCGCACCCACCCGCCCGCCCGCGCUGACGUCAGGAAACUUUCGGGGCGGCUGUGGCCGGAGCGGGCGCCGGGAGCGGCGCGGAGCGGCGGCGGGACGGGCUGCUCCAUCCCCGGCAGGUGAAAGGGAGGAGGAAACAACCA
This is a long non-coding RNA of Corvus hawaiiensis (hawaiian crow), 163 nucleotides long. RefSeq lists it as uncharacterized. The record is from RefSeq and is a predicted model, not a curated record. The transcript is spliced from 3 exons. Lineage: Eukaryota; Metazoa; Chordata; Aves; Passeriformes; Corvidae.